This 581-nucleotide long non-coding RNA is filed under the name Phoenix dactylifera (date palm). RNAcentral describes it as "long non-coding RNA (PDAC_LNC011093)". The record is from RNAcentral. Lineage: Eukaryota; Viridiplantae; Streptophyta; Magnoliopsida; Arecales; Arecaceae.
UUGGUUCUAUGAAUAAUCUGAAGGUAGCUAUGUAAUUUUCAUCAGUGGGGUUUUCUAUUAUUGACAAUUAUUGGAAGAAUCUUGGGCAUCUUAAAUUUAGUAUUAACGGAUUGAUGGUUACUUGGUUGGACUUAGAUCUGGAAAGUUUUAACAUGGAUCUCCUAUUCCUAAUUCUAACAUUGUUAAUAUGGCUAUUUGAAAGGGCUUGUGGUUUUAUAAGACAAAGGUUGAUCAUUAUAUCAUGGAAAAAAAAAUGAGGAGCAUUUGAUACUAAAGCUUUCUCCUACUUACAUUUAACCGAUUAAAUUUCUAUGUAGAAUUAAUCAGGAGCAAUUAAUUUCUUGAAAAAAAAAGAAUUAUGACAUUUUAAUCCAAGGCUGGAAGGUUAGUCUUAUUUUGAAAGAGAUCAAAAGAACUUGCUAUGAAUCAUAGAUGGAAAGGAUUAAGUUUUAAGAUGCCAUAAUUUUGCCAAAAUCUUGUGAGCCUGCAUUUCGAGAUGGGGAUUGUUUAGGAGCUCGGGAAUGAUAUGAUGUUUUUUUACUUUCAAAAUUUGAAGCCUUAAGUGAGUUAAUUUCGAGGAC